GAUGAACGCUGGCGGCGUGCCUAAUACAUGCAAGUCGAGCGAACGGACGAGAAGCUUGCUUUUCUGAUGUUAGCGGCGGACGGGUGAGUAACACGUGGAUAACCUACCUAUAAGACUGGGAUAACUUCGGGAAACCGGAGCUAAUACCGGAUAAUAUUUUGAACCACAUGGUUCAAAAGUGAAAGACGGUCUUGCUGUCACUUAUAGAUGGAUCCGCGCUGCAUUAGCUAGUUGGUAAGGUAACGGCUUACCAAGGCAACGAUGCAUAGCCGACCUGAGAGGGUGAUCGGCCACACUGGAACUGAGACACGGUCCAGACUCCUACGGGAGGCAGCAGUAGGGAAUCUUCCGCAAUGGGCGAAGGCCUGACGGAGCAACGCCGCGUGAGUGAUGAAGGUCUUCGGAUCGUAAAACUCUGUUAUUAGGGAAGAACAUAUGUGUAAGUAACUGUGCACAUCUUGACGGUACCUAAUCAGAAAGCCACGGCUAACUACGUG
RNAcentral lists this ribosomal RNA (497 nucleotides) under uncultured bacterium. RNAcentral describes it as "partial 16S ribosomal RNA". It matches the Rfam family "Bacterial small subunit ribosomal RNA", at positions 28 to 507 of the family's 1533-position model. The record is from RNAcentral.